GGGAGAGCUGCCAAAGUUGGAAGCUGAAAAAAGCCAGUCCUGGGCGUUUGAGCAUGCCCAGCUCCGGCAGCCACGCACGGGUGUUCAAAAUAACAUUUUAAUGGAUUGAGGAAAUGUGAGACAAUAUUCAGAGUAUAUUUUAAAAUGACAAGAGCAAUAAAACACACCUACACAGAUACAUCUGCUCUGCACCAUAACUUACCUCCUCUGGGGCAGCAUGUAAGCUUCCACGCCAAAUUUUGACCAAUUUAACAUCGCCGGAAAUGUUGAUUGAUUAGAAGAUGGGCUGGGAGCAAAAAGUAAAAUAUCUUCUUUGAUGUAGUAAAAAUUAGAAAAUUG
Prionailurus viverrinus (fishing cat) is the source of this 339-nucleotide long non-coding RNA. RefSeq lists it as uncharacterized. Lineage: Eukaryota; Metazoa; Chordata; Mammalia; Carnivora; Felidae. The record is from RefSeq and is a predicted model, not a curated record. The transcript has 3 exons.